CCUACGGGAGGCUGCAGUGGGGAAUAUUGCACAAUGGGCGCAAGCCUGAUGCAGCCAUGCCGCGUGUGUGAAGAAGGCCUUCGGGUUGUAAAGCACUUUCAGCGGGGAGGAAGGCGGUGAGGUUAAUAACCUCAUCGAUUGACAUUACCCGCAGAAGAAGCACCGGCUAACUCCGUGCCAGCAGCCGCGGUAAUACGGAGGGUGCAAGCGUUAAUCGGAAUUACUGGGCGUAAAGCGCACGCAGGCGGUCUGUCAAGUCGGAUGUGAAAUCCCCGGGCUCAACCUGGGAACUGCAUUCGAAACUGGCAGGCUAGAGUCAUGUAGAGGGGGGUAGAAUUCCAGGUGUAGCGGUGAAAUGCGUAGAGAUCUGGAGGAAUACCGGUGGCGAAGGCGGCCCCCUGGACAAAGACUGACGCUCAGGUGCGAAAGCGUGGGGAGCAAACAGGAUUAGAUACCCGUGUAGUC
This 465-nucleotide ribosomal RNA is filed under the name uncultured Klebsiella sp. RNAcentral describes it as "bacterial SSU rRNA". It matches the Rfam family "Bacterial small subunit ribosomal RNA", at positions 338 to 795 of the family's 1533-position model. The record is from RNAcentral. Lineage: Bacteria; Pseudomonadati; Pseudomonadota; Gammaproteobacteria; Enterobacterales; Enterobacteriaceae.